Molecule: ribosomal RNA, 472 nt
Filed under: uncultured bacterium
Lineage: Bacteria
Description: partial 16S ribosomal RNA
Rfam family: Bacterial small subunit ribosomal RNA
Source: RNAcentral
GACGAACGCUGGCGGCGUGCUUAACACAUGCAAGUCGAACGCUGAAGCUUGGUGCUUGCACUGGGUGGAUGAGUGGCGAACGGGUGAGUAAUACGUGAGUAACCUGCCCUUGACUCUGGGAUAAGCCUGGGAAACUGGGUCUAAUACUGGAUACGACAUGUCACCGCAUGGUGGUGUGUGGAAAGGGCUUUACUGGUUUUGGAUGGGCUCACGGCCUAUCAGCUUGUUGGUGGGGUAAUGGCUCACCAAGGCGACGACGGGUAGCCGGCCUGAGAGGGUGACCGGCCACACUGGGACUGAGACACGGCCCAGACUCCUACGGGAGGCAGCAGUGGGGAAUAUUGCACAAUGGGCGGAAGCCUGAUGCAGCGACGCCGCGUGAGGGAUGACGGCCUUCGGGUUGUAAACCUCUUUCAGCACGGAAGAAGCGAAAGUGACGGUACGUGCAGAAGAAGCGCCGGCUAACUACGUG